This 423-nucleotide ribosomal RNA is filed under the name uncultured bacterium. RNAcentral describes it as "bacterial SSU rRNA". It matches the Rfam family "Bacterial small subunit ribosomal RNA", at positions 207 to 622 of the family's 1533-position model. The record is from RNAcentral.
AAGACCUUGCGCUUUUGGAGCGGCCGAUGCCUGAUUAGCUUGUUGGUGAGGUAAAAGCUCACCAAGGCUUCGAUCAGUAGCUGGUCUGAGAGGACGACCAGCCACACUGGGACUGAGACACGGCCCAGACUCCUACGGGAGGCAGCAGUGGGGAAUUUUGGACAAUGGGGGCAACCCUGAUCCAGCCAUGCCGCGUGAGUGAAGAAGGCCUUCGGGCUGUAAAGCUCUUUCAGCCGGAACGAAACGGUUACGGUUAAUACCCGUGAUUACUGACGGUACCGGAAGAAGAAGCACCGGCUAACUACGUGCCAGCAGCCGCGGUAAUACGUAGGGUGCGAGCGUUAAUCGGAAUUACUGGGCGUAAAGCGUGCGCAGGUGGUUUUGUAAGUCAGAUGUGAAAGCCCCGGGCUCAACCUGGGAACU